RNAcentral lists this transfer RNA (50 nucleotides) under Dysdera sp. MD. Its description in RNAcentral is "tRNA-Leu". The record is from RNAcentral. Lineage: Eukaryota; Metazoa; Arthropoda; Arachnida; Araneae; Dysderidae.
AUCCAUCUUAGCAAACUCUAAUGCAAAAGAUUUAGACUCUUUAAAACUCA